CAAUAGCGUAUAUUAAAGUUGUUGCGGUUAAAAAGCUCGUAGUUGGAUUUCUGCUGAGAACGACCGGUCCGCCCUCUGGGUGUGUAUCUGGCUCUUUCUUGGCAUCUUCUUGGUGAACGUUGCUGCACUUGACUGUGUGGAGCGCUACCCAGGACUUUUACUUUGAGGAAAUUAGAGUGUUUCAAGCAGGCAUACGCCUUGAAUACAUUAGCAUGGAAUAAUAAGAUAGGACCUCGGUUCUAUUUUGUUGGUUUCUAGAGCUGAGGUAAUGAUUAAUAGGGACAGUUGGGGGUAUUCGUAUUUCAUUGUCAGAGGUGAAAUUCUUGGAUUUUUGAAAGACGAACUACUGCGAAAGCAUUUACCAAGGAUGUUUUCAUUAA
RNAcentral lists this ribosomal RNA (380 nucleotides) under uncultured eukaryote. RNAcentral's name for it is "partial 18S ribosomal RNA". It matches the Rfam family "Eukaryotic small subunit ribosomal RNA", at positions 592 to 976 of the family's 1831-position model. The record is from RNAcentral.